This 543-nucleotide ribosomal RNA is filed under the name Raorchestes nerostagona. RNAcentral describes it as "partial 16S ribosomal RNA". It matches the Rfam family "Bacterial large subunit ribosomal RNA", at positions 1832 to 2597 of the family's 2925-position model. Lineage: Eukaryota; Metazoa; Chordata; Amphibia; Anura; Rhacophoridae. The record is from RNAcentral.
CGCCUCUUGACAUUAUAAGAGGUCAUGCCUGCCCAGUGACAAAAUUCAACGGCCGCGGAACCCUAACCGUGCAAAGGUAGCAUAAUCACUUGUUCCUUAAAUAGGGACUCGUAUCAAAGGCACCACGAGGGUUAUACUGUCUCCCUCCUCCAAUCAGUGAAACUGAUCUCCCCAUGAAAAAGCGGGGAUGAUAAUAUAAGACGAGAAGACCCCAUGGAGCUUUAAACCCAAUAGCAAUUUAGCAAAAACUCCUCUAAGCUUCAAAACCAUGCUAGCGGCUUUAGGUUGGGGUGACCACGGAGUAAAAAUUAACCUCCGCAUCGAAAAGAACAAAUCCUUUACCCAAGAGCUACCACUCUAAGAAUUAGAAAACUAACGAACUGAUCCGAUAUCGAUUAAUGAACCAAGUUACCCUGGGGAUAACAGCGCAAUCUACUUCAAGAGUUCAUAUCGACAAGUAGGCUUACGACCUCGAUGUUGGAUCAGGGUAUCCUAGUGGUGCAGUCGCUACUACAGGUUCGUUUGUUCAACGAUUAAAACCCU